Molecule: long non-coding RNA, 392 nt
Filed under: Homo sapiens (human)
Lineage: Eukaryota; Metazoa; Chordata; Mammalia; Primates; Hominidae
Description: non-protein coding LINC01341:15
Source: RNAcentral
UCCAGCUUCAUGCAGUAGGCCAGCGACUGGAGCCAGAUGUGAGCUGAGCCCAAGCGGACGACCUCGACAGGAUCCCAGAAAGGGUCGUCAUCUCGAGCCACAGGGCCGUGAUCUCCAUCUAGAAAGCGCUGGUAAAGUUCCUGCAUUAGGAAUUUCCUAUUGAUGAACUUGGCUUUUGACCAUAUCCACACCUGGAAACACAGAGGAAAGCAGAGAGACACAGUGUGAAAUCGCUGCUCUCAGAUCAGCACACGGGAGAGGCCAGCAGUCAGGAGGGGGCUCACCGAGUUUGUCUGCACUCGCUCCCUCCGCAGCCGCCCUCUCCAGCUGGAAGAAGUCGUAAUCGAACCUGCUCAGGUCCUCACUGCCCCACUCCGAAGGAAACCCCACGU